Peromyscus eremicus (cactus mouse) is the source of this 1146-nucleotide long non-coding RNA. RefSeq lists it as uncharacterized. The transcript is spliced from 6 exons. Lineage: Eukaryota; Metazoa; Chordata; Mammalia; Rodentia; Cricetidae. The record is from RefSeq and is a predicted model, not a curated record.
GAACUGAACUCAGAGCCUUAUGCACUCUACCACUGAACCCUAUUGUUGGCCUUCAGGCUGCGGCAAUAUUCAAUGUCUGGAGACUGUAAGAAGGCACUGCAGUAUUUGCUAACCAUUGUACAUACUGGGUUUAGGACUCUAAACCCUUUGCACAUUGUCUCACCCUGGAAUCCCCCAACAGCUCCAACUCUUACAAAUGCCAGAGGCUCAGAUGUGAAGAAGCUUCAGAGGUGGCAUGUCCACAGUCUUGUUUGAAAUCCAGCCCUCAGUAGCCACUUUGGGACACGGCCCUGGGAUUUGUGUAUUCCUAGUCAGGUGUGCCCAGAGCGGAACCAAGCAGUAGGUGCAAAAGGAAAAUUGCUUUCUGAUUUGUUUACCUGCAAUCACCUGGAGAUGUCCCAGCCUAUCCAACAUCUGUCACACCUGGAGAAAUGACUUCUCUGUCCAGCGAGACCGUCUCCCAGCUGAAUACGAAGAUUUUCCCUCAGAAAGGUUGGACCCUGUGUGGAGAAAGUGAGAGGCGCGUCUUUCUCACCCCCAGCAGCCAGUGCUCCAUAUGGUCUCCUCUUGUCCCCUUUCUCUCCAGAGUCCUCACGGUCCAUUGCUUGUCUAGCAUGUCUGCAGCGUGACUCUUGUUUCAUGGGGCUCAGUUUCCUAGAAGUGGAAGGAACAGUCAUCCAUGUGGUUCAUCUGGAGCAUUGGGUAUCGGCCAACAAGUCAGCCUCUGUGGUCAGCCUCCUCUCCUGGGAAGCAGAGGAAAGAAAGAGCAAGUUCCUCGUCUCCUGAGUCAUCUCCUCAGCCCCACAGUGAAUAUUUCUACACACCCUGUGCCCAUAGGGGAUUAAAGAUGGAUCAUGCCACGCAGAAGCCCACAGUGGGGACGGCUGCACUCUUUCUCCCCAGAGACGAGGACGUUUAAGGAUCAUUACCAAGGUAUCUUCAAAUCACAGACCCAUGUGAAGAGCUCACUUGCCUCUCAUUAGACCCCUGUUGUGGUUUGAAGAAGUAGACAAGCUUGGUCCCAAAGCCCCUGAAUGUUCUACAGAAGAUCAGAAUGUAGCUCUCAGCUACUCUUCUAGUACCACACCUGCCAUGCAUGCUGCCAUGCUCCCCGCUAUGAUGAUAAUGGAAGAAACCUCUGAAACU